CCCCGAGCUUAACUNGGGAACUGCGUUUUGAACUGGUAAGCUAGAGUAUGUCAGAGGGGGGUAGAAUUCCACGUGUAGCUGUGAAAUGCGUAGAGAUGUGGAGGAAUACCGAUGGCGAAGGCAGCCCCCUGGGAUAAUACUGACGUUCAUGCUCGAAAGCGUGGGUAGCAAACAGGAUUAGAUACCCUGGUAGUCCACGCCCUAAACGAUGUCAAUUAGCUGUUGGGGCACUUGAUGCCUUAGUAGCGAAGCUAACGCGUGAAAUUGACCGCCUGGGGAGUACGGUCGCAAGAUUAAAACUCAAAGGAAUUGACGGGGACCCGCACAAGCGGUGGAUGAUGUGGAUUAAUUCGAUGCAACGCGAAGAACCUUACCUGGUCUUGACAUGUACGGAAUCUUCCAGAGACGGAAGAGUGCCUUCGGGAGCCGUAACACAGGUGCUGCAUGGCUGUCGUCAGCUCGUGUCGUGAGAUGUUGGGUUAAGUCCCGCAACGAGCGCAACCCUUGUCAUUAGUUGCCACCAUUCAGUUGGGCACUCUAAUGAGACUGCCGGUGACAACCCGGAGGAAGGUGGGGAUGACGUCAAGUCCUCAUGGCCCUUAUGACCAGGGCUUCACACGUCAUACAAUGGUCGGUACAGAGGGUAGCCAAGCCGCGAGGUGGAGCCAAUCUCAGAAAACCGAUCGUAGUCCGGAUUGCACUCUGCAACUCGAGUGCAUGAAGUCGGAAUCGCUAGUAAUCGCAGGUCAGCAUACUGCGGUGAAUACGUUCCCGGGUCUUGUACACACCGCCCGUCACACCAUGGGAGUGGGGGAUACCAGAAGUAGGUAGGCUAACCGCAAGGAGGCCGCUUACC
RNAcentral lists this ribosomal RNA (856 nucleotides) under uncultured bacterium. RNAcentral describes it as "bacterial SSU rRNA". It matches the Rfam family "Bacterial small subunit ribosomal RNA", at positions 601 to 1458 of the family's 1533-position model. The record is from RNAcentral.